GGAGAGAUGGCUGAGCGGUUGAAAGCACCGGUCUUGAAAACCGGCACAGGGGUAACUCUGUCGUGAGUUCAAAUCUCACUCUCUCCGCCA
RNAcentral lists this transfer RNA (90 nucleotides) under bacterium. RNAcentral's name for it is "tRNA-Ser". It matches the Rfam family "tRNA". From Rfam's summary of the family: Transfer RNA (tRNA) molecules are approximately 80 nucleotides in length. Their secondary structure includes four short double-helical elements and three loops (D, anti-codon, and T loops). The record is from RNAcentral.